UAAGGAAUAUUGGUCAAUGGACGCAAGUCUGAACCAGCCAUGCCGCGUGAAGGAUGAAGGUCCUCUGGAUUGUAAACUUCUUUUAUCUGGGACGAAAACGGGAUUUUUAUCUCAAUUGACGGUACCAGAGGAAUAAGCACCGGCUAACUCCGUGCCAGCAGCCGCGGUAAUACGGAGGGUGCGAGCGUUAUCCGGAUUUACUGGGUUUAAAGGGUGCGUAGGUGGGCUUAUAAGUCAGUGGUGAAAUCUCCGAGCUUAACUUGGAAACUGCCGUUGAUACUAUAGGUCUUGAAUUAUCUGGAGGUAAGCGGAAUAUGUCAUGUAGCGGUGAAAUGCUUAGAUAUGACAUAGAACACCAACUGCGAAGGCAGCUUACUACAUAUAAAUUGACGCUGAGGCACGAAAGCGUGGGGAUCAAACA
RNAcentral lists this ribosomal RNA (421 nucleotides) under uncultured bacterium. RNAcentral's name for it is "bacterial SSU rRNA". It matches the Rfam family "Bacterial small subunit ribosomal RNA", at positions 355 to 774 of the family's 1533-position model. The record is from RNAcentral.